UACAGAGGUCCCAAGCGUUGUUCGGAUUCACUGGGCGUAAAGGGCGCGUAGGCGGCGCGAGCAGUCGGCGGUGAAAGCCCGGAGCUCAACUCCGGGUCGGCCGUCGAUACUCUCGUGCUUGAGCACUGUAGAGGCAGGUGGAAUUCCGGGUGUAGCGGUGGAAUGCGUAGAGAUCCGGAAGAACACCGGUGGCGAAGGCGGCCUGCUGGGCAGUAGCUGACGCUGAUGCGCGACAGCGUGGGGAGCAAACAGG
Molecule: ribosomal RNA, 253 nt
Filed under: uncultured bacterium
Lineage: Bacteria
Description: partial 16S ribosomal RNA
Rfam family: Bacterial small subunit ribosomal RNA
Source: RNAcentral